UAACAACAAAGCGAAGCUAAAUGCUGGAAAGGACCACAUUGGUCAAUCAGUUAGAAACACAGAGGAAAACAUCACCAGUAGAUUUAGGCAAGUACAAGAAAGAAGAGCAGAGGUUGAGGCAAAGGCUGAGAAAACACUACAUUCAAACAUCAACACUUUAAUCCAAAAAUAGUUAACUAUGAAACAGCAACCCCACCCACCUGAAAGUUAUAAACAGAAUGUUUAGAAUAGUAAACACCAGAGUGGAGGCUUGAAUGGCUUCCAUAAGGCUCAUAUAUUUGAGUGUCGGUCUUUGCAGCUGUAAUACCACCUUUGAUAUUACUACCAAGGUGGGUCACUGUGAUGGUUUGAAUAUUCUUGGCCAGGAAGUGGCAGUAUUAGGAGGUUUUGUUGGUAUAGUUGUGGCCUUGUUGGAGGAAGUGUGUCACUGUGGGAGUGGGCAAUGAGGCCCUGCUCCGAGCUGCCUGGACACAGUCUGCUCCUGGCUUCCUUUGGAUGAAGAUGCGGAACUUCUCCAGCACCAUGCCAGCCUGGACACCUCCAUGCUGCCCACCAUGAUGAUAAUAGACUGAACCUAAGAACCCAUAAGCCAGCCCCAACUAAAUGUUGUGUUUUGUAAGAGUUGCCUUGGUUAUGGUGUCUCUUCACAGCAAUGGAAACCCUAACUAAGACACUGUACUACUGGAUGUGACAAGCAAGAAUGCUAGGUGUUAUAGAGGCUGAACAUACCUGCCCAGUGUACUGAUUCAUUUUUGUGUGUCGACUUGACACAAGCUGGAGUUAUCACAGAGAAAGGAGCCUCCCUUGAGGAAAUGCCUCCAUGAGAUCCAGCUGUAAGACCUCCCUUAGAUAAAGUCUUCUUAUCAUCUCGGUCUCCAGGAGGUACCACUGGACAUAGAAAGCAAAUGGAGAGACAUGGCAAGGAGAAAGGAUGUCAGUACUGAAGCUACUGCUAAGAGCCAAGAAAGGGGCUGGAAAGAGGACUCAGCUGUCAAGAACACUUGCUUCCUUCCAGACAACUCAGGUUCAACUCCCAGAAUCUUCGUAGGGGCUCACAACUGUGUGAACCUCCAGUCCCAGGGGGGAAUCUGAAACCUCUUCUGGUCUGUGCAAGCACCAGGCACAAAAGUGGUACACAGAUACACACAGAAGCUAAACACCCAUACACAUAAAAUAAAAAUGUAAAAAGGA
Molecule: long non-coding RNA, 1191 nt
Organism: Mus musculus (house mouse)
Lineage: Eukaryota; Metazoa; Chordata; Mammalia; Rodentia; Muridae
Product: predicted gene 3734
Exons: 3
Source: RefSeq, a predicted model, not a curated record